UGAGGAAUUUUCCGCAAUGGGCGAAAGCCUGACGGAGCGACGCCGCGUGGGUGAUGAAGGUCUUCGGAUCGUAAAACCCUUUUGUAGGGGAAGAAAUCCCCGAAGUUAACAGCUUCGGGGGCUGACUGUACCCUAAGAAUAAGCUCCGGCCAACUACGUGCCAGCAGCCGCGGUAAUACGUAGGGAGCGAGCGUUAUCCGGAAUUACUGGGCGUAAAGGGCUCGCAGGUGGUUUGGUAAGUUGCAUGUUAAAGCUCCGGGCUUAACCCGGGAAACGCGUGCAAUACUGCCUUACUUGAGAGCGGGAGAGGGAAAUGGAAUUCCCGGUGUAGCGGUGAAAUGCAUAGAUAUCGGGAAGAACACCAGUGGCGAAGGCGAUUUCCUAGACCGUUUCUGACACUGAGGAGCGAAAGCCAAGGGAGCGAACGGG
This 429-nucleotide ribosomal RNA is filed under the name uncultured bacterium. RNAcentral's name for it is "bacterial SSU rRNA". It matches the Rfam family "Bacterial small subunit ribosomal RNA", at positions 355 to 776 of the family's 1533-position model. The record is from RNAcentral.